Molecule: ribosomal RNA, 354 nt
Filed under: Triticum aestivum (bread wheat)
Lineage: Eukaryota; Viridiplantae; Streptophyta; Magnoliopsida; Poales; Poaceae
Description: partial small subunit ribosomal RNA
Source: RNAcentral
AUGAAGACGGUUGCUAAAGGAAUUCUGAAGGGCCAUUUGAUACUUGUGGCAAACAGCAUGACAUGCACUGGGAACUUGAAUGGGUUCCACAGUGAUGGUUACAAGGCGACCUUAAGUUCGUUAAAAGUUCAAGCACCUUUUGCAGAGUCCACCUUGCUUACCCCUAUAAAAUGCUUCGAGAAGGCUGCAGAGAAAUGCCAUACUGAUUCAUUGGGUUGUGUGGUCUCAUCAUGUUCAUGGGGCCAUUCAACACUUGGCACUGGGUCAUGUUUUCAGAUUCUUUGGAACGAAAAUCAGGUAAGCUGGUUUUCCAACCCGCCAGAGCUUAUUAUUCAUACCAGUAAUGGAGCUUGA